UGCGGGGUUGGCAAUCGUGAGGAAAUUGUAUAAUGCUCCGAAGUUUUUUAAGCCGAAUAGUUCGGAGGCGGCGGCGGGGACGAUGGCCCAAUGGGCACCGUAGCCGAGCCCGAUAAGUAGCGUUCCUAUGUACAUUGUGCCNUUAUUUUUACUUUUUCCUUUUUUUUUUUUUUUUUUCUCUCUGGGGGCCCGAAAAAAAAGGGAGGGAGAGGGACGUUAUAGACUAGGACCUAGGGAGUACUAGGACACGUGGCCAAGUCUGAAUGGUCGGUGCCUUUGCGGAGCUUUGAAUGUACCGUAGGGACACGAUAUGACGUAAGUAACCGUUGGGAGGUGGUCCUUCCGAUGGCAAAAUGCCUAAUAGUCCCUGUACUACAAACAAAUUCCAAAAUGAUUCCUGUAGUUUUCGCAGAAAAAUAAUACCAUCCCUACACUAUUUACAAAUUACAACCCAAUCCCUAACGGUGAAAAAUAUUAAUCUUUCUAUCAACUCACUAGUUUAUAUAUAUAAACAUUAUCAAAAGCUAAAUAAUAUUAUUAAAAAAGCUAAUUUUAAAAUUCGCAUAAUGCACUUCGUAAAUUUGGUCACUGAUUAAUGACUACGAAUUGAUUUUGCUCAUAUCGCUUUUAAUACAAAAAUAAUUUGAAAAUAAAAGUUUGGAAAAAAAAAAAGUGUGCAAUGAGUAUAGGGACUGAAUUAGAACGACUGGUUAUUAGAGGUACUACAAUGCAUUUGUUUCCCCUCUCCUUGUUCUUCCUGUGAAUUGUUCACCACACGUGUGAGCUACUGAGGGCUCUCCAACCCAAAAGGCCGAGACACGUGUGACUACGCCAGCUGGCGCGUUUGACUUUGACCAACGGGGAGAGUGGAUUUGAGCUUCAACAUUUGGUCCUCUCCAACAAAUGGUGUUACGCCACGUGGUUUAGAGCGACGUGGCACGUGGUGAUAGGUUGGCAACCGAGUUUGGUGUUGUGGCCCACAGAGCUCGACAAGAAGAGCCUCGAUGUUCCCGCGGAGAUGGUUGGUGGACGGUUCCUGCGCCGUUAAUCGUACCGUUUCACGGCCACGAUGUCUCGCUUCGCAGGAAUCCGCCACGUGGCGCCACCGGACCCGUGUGAUUGUCCCGUGGAAGUUUCUCGAAGCACCGGUUGAACCGGGUUUUGAUUCAAAUAUUCGGUGUCUUAAAAAAAUAUAUUUUUUUAACAGUUAUGAUACAUAUAAAUAUAAUAAUAUAUAGGAUAAACUUCAAAUACCAUCCCUAUAGUUUCACGUUUUCUUACUUUAGUAUCCUCUGGUUUAAAAUAUAUCGUACCCAAUGGUUUUAUUUUUCUUUUUUCGUCAGCUCCUGCGUUAAUAUUUGGUUAAAUUAUAUAUAAAAAAAUUCACAUACUCCACCUAAAUUUAUUGGAUAUUCAUUUUAGUACCCUUUAGGUUUAACUUUACCACUGAUUUAACGAAAAAAAUUAAUACAAUAAAUAAUAAAAAGAGAAAAAUAAAAUCACAUAAUACUAUAUUAAUAUAUGUUAAAACACAUGGUACUAAAAUGAGAGAGUGUGAAACAAAAGGGGUGAUAUUUGAAGUUUUUCCUAAUAAAUAUAUGUAUCAUCAACACAUUCUCUCUCUCUCAAAAAAAAAAAAAAAGAAAAAAAAAAUAGAUUAAAAAGUGCAAUUAAAAGAAUACACAAAUGCAAGGGACUAUGCUUCUUAUAAUAAUAAUACUUCAACAUUGAACUUGUCAUGUAAUUGAAUCAAAUUCUCUUCUUUCUCAAACAUAUACUUUUCAUGUUCAAGCGCGCCCGUACAAGUGCGCGUAAACGACCUUCGUUCGAUAAACGAGAAUGAGGCUCAAAAUGAUCGCGACAAUGCAUAGUCCCGACAUGAUCAACGAACUCGCGAAGAAGCAAAUGGCCCCCUCGCAUUUCAGCGGCUCGUCGGCGAGGUAACUCCGAGGAACAUGAGCUUGUUUCUCCGCUUCGUAGUCGUAUAUGCUGCUCGCUAUAAGACCGGAGAAUAUCAAAGAACCCGCGGGGUUGGCGAUCGUGAGGAAAUUGUAUAAUGCUCCGAAGUUUUUUAAGCCGAAGAGUUCGGAGGCGGCGGCGGGGACGAUGGCCCAAUGAGCACCGUAGCCGAGCCCAAUAAGUAGCGUUCCUAUGUACAUUGUGCCGGGCCAAGCCACGGCGAAGAGAAAGUGCCCUAUCGCCAUUGCGACCUGCGCCACCGCCAUUGCUACGGGCCUCGGAUAUGCAU
RNAcentral lists this long non-coding RNA (2248 nucleotides) under Ananas comosus (pineapple). RNAcentral's name for it is "long non-coding RNA (ACOM_LNC028703)". The record is from RNAcentral. Lineage: Eukaryota; Viridiplantae; Streptophyta; Magnoliopsida; Poales; Bromeliaceae.